This 68-nucleotide transfer RNA is filed under the name Rattus norvegicus (Norway rat). It matches the Rfam family "tRNA". Rfam says of the family: Transfer RNA (tRNA) molecules are approximately 80 nucleotides in length. Their secondary structure includes four short double-helical elements and three loops (D, anti-codon, and T loops). The record is from Rfam by way of RNAcentral. Lineage: Eukaryota; Metazoa; Chordata; Mammalia; Rodentia; Muridae.
GGGGAUUUAGCUCAGCGGUAGAGCGCUUGCCUAGCAUGCGAAAGGCCCUGGGUUCGUCCCCAGCUCCG